UACGUAGGGGGCGAGCGUUGUCCGGAUUUAUUGGGCGUAAAGAGCGUGUAGGCGGUUCGGUAAGUCUGUCGUGAAAUCCUGAGGCUCAACCUCGGGCGUGCGAUGGAUACUGCCGGGCUAGAGGGUGGUAGAGGCGAGUGGAAUUCCCGGUGUAGCGGUGAAAUGCGUAGAUAUUGGGAGGAACACCAGUGGCGAAGGCGGCUCGCUGGACCGGUUCUGACGCUGAGGCGCGAAAGCGUGGGGAGCAAACGGG
This 253-nucleotide ribosomal RNA is filed under the name uncultured bacterium. RNAcentral describes it as "partial 16S ribosomal RNA". It matches the Rfam family "Bacterial small subunit ribosomal RNA", at positions 524 to 776 of the family's 1533-position model. The record is from RNAcentral.